This 723-nucleotide long non-coding RNA is filed under the name Mytilus galloprovincialis (Mediterranean mussel). Lineage: Eukaryota; Metazoa; Mollusca; Bivalvia; Mytilida; Mytilidae. The record is from RNAcentral.
AACAAUGGCAAGUAUUUCAGGAUUUAUUGGGUAGAACACAAAUCUAGGGUGCUCGCAUAAUGCAGCUUAACUGCAUAAAAAUAUGUAUAAAUGUUAGCAUCAUUUAUUUUCUCAAAACUAUAAAUUAUAUUUUUUGAGAGUGAGAAAAUAAUCCUUACAAAUUAUCAAAGAAAUAGUUUUGCCCUCAAAUAUUUUUUUUUGUAGAAAUGAAAUACACAAUGCAUUUUUUUCUGUUUUGUUUUUUUGUUGUGAAAAAAAAUUUGCUUGAGAUCAUUGGACACAGUGCAAUUCAUUGUAUAUAUGUAAAGAUAGCAAUAACUAUGAUUUUAAUUUAAGUAAUUAUUGUAUUAUAUAUUAAUUGAUUGUGUUUGAUAUACAUUUAUAUAUGUUUUGAGGAAUUGCCUUUACAUACUUUUAUCCAAUAAAAGUUGUAAAUAGAACUCAAAUUUAUUAUUUUAAUUAACUGCAUUAGUUGAUAUUUUCUCUAUAAAUAAGUAAACUUGUUUAAGACUUAUAUAGAGAAGCACAGAUAUCAAUGAGAACAGGCUGAAGAAGAUGUAAUGAAAUUAUUAAUAGAUAAGGACAAAGCACAUAUGGCUUGUAUAUGUUAUACUUCAAGGGGGUGGGGAUAGGUAGGUUUUGACCUAUCAAUUGUUCUACAAGUCAGUAUUUUCAUUUCGAGAUUCCAACUCAAAUACUUAAGAUUGGGUUACAACUUUAUUU